AAAUGAAUAGACGGGGACCCGCACAAGCAGCGGAGCAUGUGGUUUAAUUCGAAGAUACGCGAAGAACCUUACCAAGGCUUGACAUCCCCUGACCGAUAUAGAGAUAUGUCUUUCCAGCAAUGGACAGGGAGACAGGUGGUGCAUGGUUGUCGUCAGCUCGUGUCGUGAGAUGUUCGGUUAAGUCCGGCAACGAGCGCAACCCUUAUGAUAUGUUGCCCUUAUUAAGUUAGGCACUCAUAUCAGACUGCCGUGGAUAACACGGAGGAAGGCGGGGAUGACGUCAAAUCAUCAUGCCCCUUACGUCUUGGGCUACACACGUGCUACAAUGGACGCCACAAAGAGCAGCCAACCGGUAACGGCGAGCGAAUCUCAAAAAAGCGUUCUCAGUUCAGAUUGUGGGCUGCAACCCGCCCACAUGAAGGAGGAGUUGCUAGUAAUCCCGAAUCAGAAUGUCGGGGUGAAUGCGUUCCCGGGUCUUGUACACACCGCCCGU
RNAcentral lists this ribosomal RNA (493 nucleotides) under uncultured bacterium. Its description in RNAcentral is "bacterial SSU rRNA". It matches the Rfam family "Bacterial small subunit ribosomal RNA", at positions 903 to 1397 of the family's 1533-position model. The record is from RNAcentral.